RNAcentral lists this transfer RNA (85 nucleotides) under Streptomyces seoulensis. Its description in RNAcentral is "tRNA-Gly". The record is from RNAcentral. Lineage: Bacteria; Bacillati; Actinomycetota; Actinomycetes; Kitasatosporales; Streptomycetaceae.
CGGGGUCGGAGGUGCGCAGGUGCUCGUCCACGGCGAUGCCGCCGCCGAAGGCGCGGUCGGCCAGUUCCAGUCCGGCCGCCUCGGC